CGGAGGGUGCAAGCGUUAUCCGGAUUCACUGGGUUUAAAGGGUGUGUAGGCGGGCUGUUAAGUCAGUGGUGAAAUCUCCGGGCUCAACCCGGAAACUGCCAUUGAUACUAAUGGUCUUGAAUUUUGUUGAGGUAGGCGGAAUAUGUCAUGUAGCGGUGAAAUGCUUAGAUAUGACAUAGAACACCGAUUGCGAAGGCAGCUUACUAAGCAAAUAUUGACGCUGAGGCACGAAAGCGUGGGGAUCAAACAGGAUUAGAUACCCUGGUAGUCCACGCCCUAAACGAUGAUUACUCGACAUACGCGAUACACAGUGUGUGUCUGAGCGAAAGCAUUAAGUAAUCCACCUGGGAAGUACGUCCGCAAGGAUG
RNAcentral lists this ribosomal RNA (368 nucleotides) under uncultured organism. RNAcentral describes it as "bacterial SSU rRNA". It matches the Rfam family "Bacterial small subunit ribosomal RNA", at positions 526 to 896 of the family's 1533-position model. The record is from RNAcentral.